Molecule: ribosomal RNA, 318 nt
Filed under: Triticum aestivum (bread wheat)
Lineage: Eukaryota; Viridiplantae; Streptophyta; Magnoliopsida; Poales; Poaceae
Description: partial small subunit ribosomal RNA
Source: RNAcentral
AUGCAUCUCAAACUAUAUUGCCUUCCCGCAGAGAAAAUGGAAAGAGAGGUGGAGCUGUUGCAGGCUUUCCAGGCCGUGGAGGUGGCCGUGCAGAGGUUCUUCUUCACGUACCAACAGUUUGUGGCGGCGGUGUGUGCCACGAUGGAGGCGUCGGGCAAACGGGCGUUGUUCGUGCCUGCGAGCUCCACAUUCUGGUUCAACAUGUAUGUUAUUUUUCUCAAUGAGAACGGUGUUGAAUUAGAUUACUCAGAAUCCUGGUUUUGGCCAUCCACCGUUUGUUUAUAUGAACAAAAAACUGAGAUGAGUUGUGAUAUCUGA